Molecule: long non-coding RNA, 325 nt
Organism: Oncorhynchus tshawytscha (Chinook salmon)
Lineage: Eukaryota; Metazoa; Chordata; Actinopteri; Salmoniformes; Salmonidae
Source: Ensembl
GUACUUUUUCUCAAGUAUGACAAUGAGGUACUUUUUCUCAAGUAUGACAAUUAGGUACUUUUUCUCAAGUAUGACAAUGAGGUACUUUUUCUCGAAUAUGACAAUUAGGUACUUUUCCUCAAGUAUGACAAUUAGGUACUUUUCCUCAAGUAUGACAAUUAGGUACUUUUUCUCAAGUAUGACAUUUAGGUACUUUUUCUCAAGUAUGACAAUUAGGUACUUUUCCUCAAGUAUGACAAUUAGGUACUUUCCCUCAAGUAUGACAAUUAGGUACUUUUCCUCAAGUAUGACAAUUAGGCACUUUUCCUCAAGUAUGACAAUUAGG